RNAcentral lists this long non-coding RNA (1675 nucleotides) under Homo sapiens (human). RNAcentral's name for it is "HSALNT0203158". Lineage: Eukaryota; Metazoa; Chordata; Mammalia; Primates; Hominidae. The record is from RNAcentral.
CUGCGUCGCUCAGGCUGGGAGCUGUAGACCGGAGCUGUUCCUAUUCAGCCAUCUUGGCUCCUCCCCUCGAUACUUUUUCUAUGAGCUUGCACUCUCUUGCCUUUCUGCCUUGCACCAUGGGAGGACACAGCAAGAAGCUCUCACCGGAUGCUAGACCCUCAACCUUGGACUUCUCAGCCUCCAGAACCACGAGAAAUAAAUUUCUGUUUAUUGUAAAUUGCCCAGUCUCAAAUAUUAUGUGACAGCUGCACUAAACAGACUAAGAUGCUCCCUUAACAUAAACCACAGGGUUCCUAUGGAAAACAGGCAACAUGGAAUGUUUCAGGCAUUGUAAUCAUUGAAGGAAAGGAGAAACAAAAGGAGAGAUUGUGCUGAAGUGAACAGAGCACAGACUGUGACGGGAAUCUCACAAUCUUACCAACUUUGAGAUCAGAAUUCCGGCAUCAUAAGCUAUCAUAUGAGAAGCAAGAUUUCAGAACCUUUUUUAAACACAAGUGCUUGAGAUUGUUUGAACAAUGUGUGUCAAGACAGACUACUAACACAGAAACACCUCACUGAAAGAAACAACAAAAAUAACAACAAAGAGGUUUGAUGACUGGCUUACAGAGAAGAAUAAGGAAAUGUACCUCUAAGAAUCGUUUGAAAUGAGUCUUCAUAUCCUCCCAAAUAUUUUUCAAGAACGUUUGGCAUUACUUCAAAAAUUAACUUUAGGAAAGGAACUAUUAUCACAUUUUAAGAGGGGAAUUGCAGUUGCACUUAAACUAGAAACUUCCACUUGGUGAAUUGAAUUAUUAAGGAAUAAUGGCAGAAGAAAGAAAAUCAAACCAGGAAUAUUUUUCAGACACAAAUAAUACUGGCUCAGCUCCGAUUCAGUAGGCUCACAUCAUUUAAACUAACGAUUACCUUGACACCACCAGAAGAAAAAUAGGAAAGUAAGAAGUGCCUUAGAAGUAUGAUAUUAUCAUUUAUUGCAAAGGAUACAAUAGUUAAGGUUGAAGUUUUUUAAGAGAAUGAAUGAUGGAGACCCCCAACAGAAAGGGAAAUUUUGCCUCCAGAAUGCAACAUCAACUCUUCUCUCCAGCCUGCCCUCCUUCCAUACAAAGUUUGGACUUGCCAGCCUCCACAACAAUGUGAGCCCAAUUUUUAAAUCUCUCUUUUUCUGUUUCUCUGGAAAAUCUAAUACUAACUCUUACAAUAAGUAUGUCUUUACUACUAAAAAAAAAGUUUUCUUGUCAGGUCAUACCAUACAACUAAUUUUUCUUUUUAACUUACUUUUCAUGCUUAUUGGUGGAAUAUUGGUGACUCAGGGCACAAAAUUAUAUUAGCUUCACAACAAAAAAAAUUUCUUUUGAUUCAUAUCUUAUAAAGAUCAGAUAAAGGCAUGAACUUUUAUAUUUGAACCUGUAAUUGUAUAUUACAAGCUACCCCAUAUAAUCAUGUAAUAUUUUACAGCAUAUUUUUAUUCAUUAAUUUCAUAUUAUUUAGUUUUACUCCCCCAAAAUAGGUAUUUCUAUACCUAUCUAUUCAAUAGGUGAUGAAAGAAAACAUGAAUCUUGCCCAAAGCUUCAUAAAACAAUGUGUGGCAUAGUUAGGACUGCAAUUCAUCUAAAUAGCCUUCAAACCCUUGGUGUUUUCAUCACAUCACAGUAGCCUAAGUCAAAAGCAUACACUACAG